This 416-nucleotide ribosomal RNA is filed under the name Candidatus Wallbacteria bacterium. RNAcentral's name for it is "partial 23S ribosomal RNA". It matches the Rfam family "Bacterial large subunit ribosomal RNA", at positions 2514 to 2925 of the family's 2925-position model. The record is from RNAcentral. Lineage: Bacteria; Candidatus Walliibacteriota.
AGGUUUGGCACCUCGAUGUCGGCUCAUCGCAUCCUGGGGCUGAAGUAGGUCCCAAGGGUCCGGCUGUUCGCCGGUUAAAGCGGUACGCGAGCUGGGUUCAGAACGUCGUGAGACAGUUCGGUCCUUAUCCGCGGCGGGCGUGGGAAAUUUGAGAAGGGCUGCUCCUAGUACGAGAGGACCGGAGUGGACGGACCGCCAGUGUGCCGGUUGCGCUGCCCAGUGCAAUGCCGGGUAGCUGUGUCCGGUCGUGAGAACCGCUGAAUGCAUCUAAGCGGGAAACACGCUUCAAGAUGAGAUUUCCACUGGGGGAGAAAUCCCCCUAAAAGAGCCCUGGGAGACUACCAGGUCGAUAGGGCAGCGAUGUAAAUGCAGCAAUGCAUGUGUCUACUGCUCCUAAUAGCUCGAAAACUUGAUCU